RNAcentral lists this long non-coding RNA (401 nucleotides) under Homo sapiens (human). Its description in RNAcentral is "HSALNT0206163". Lineage: Eukaryota; Metazoa; Chordata; Mammalia; Primates; Hominidae. The record is from RNAcentral.
UAUUGAUUCUGAAAGAAGGAAAGAUGACUAAUCUUGUCCUUUUUAUUACUGGUUGUCCUUUCCGUGUAUAUUUAAGUAAUCAUUUGGAUAGAUGUUUCAAAACUUGCACUAGAAUUAAUCCAACUACGUUUGAUUUUUUCUCUUAAUGAAAUAGGCAAGAUAUCUGAAACUUGUUUUUAUUCCAGUUAACCUUUUUUCAUAGUCACAAGUCUUUGAUGUCCUAAAGUGAGAGCUAAAUAUGUUUUAUUUUAUAGAAUUGAAAAGAACAUAGUGCCAGAUGAUUAUGCUGGAGUCAUUUAUUUUGUUAGUACUUUCUUUUAGCACUCUAAUCUUUAUAAAUAGGAAAAUCUUAGGAGAUACAGGGAAUGGAAUCAAGAAUGGGUUCUUUGGACCUUUUUAUU